Non-coding RNA from Zootermopsis nevadensis, 6258 nucleotides. NCBI's taxonomy places the organism in Eukaryota, Metazoa, Arthropoda, Insecta, Blattodea, Termopsidae. The record is from RefSeq and is a predicted model, not a curated record.
AGUGGCAGCACCGUCCAGCUAAAACUCUUAGCUCCAGUUCUCAUACUACGGAGUAGUCACUCAGCAUCCUAUGGUUGGCUAUGCUGGCUUCUUGGAUAUCUUGUCAGUCACCGCUGGUCCAUUGACCAAGAGAGGUGCGUAUAGUGUCGGUCUCAAUGGAGAUAACUUUUAUCGCAACAUUUGAAAAAUGUGUAGACGCGGCACUGCAUAGCGGCUUGUGGUUUCGAAAGUAAAAAUGAAGUGGAGAUUCCGACGCUAGAAUAAGACAUGAACUUUGCACAUCAAAUCCCGUGUACGAAAUUUGUCCCCAAAAAGGAAACAUCUUUUACGUGUAAUAUGUACGACGUAGAAAAGUCAUGAGAAAUAGAAUAAGAAUGGUAAAUAUUUCCGACAUAAUGAUUCUUUUCCAGAAAACAAUGACAUUGUGAAUUACGAAGCAGAAAAACGAAUUUUCCUAAAGUGCACGUGAGUGAUGUGGUGUUAAUAGUGGCUAUUUUUCGUUUUAGGAAAUACUAAGAUAAUUUGAGACUGAUGUAUUAUAGGACAUUAUGUGCUUCAAAAUUGUGACGUGUAUAGUUUAAAAGCGGUGAGCACGUGCCUAAUGUAUUCAAUUUAGUGAAGAUCUGCUGGAUGUUGCAUUUGAACGAGCUCCGUGUUUUUGUGCGGAUGUCGAGUUUCACGCCUCAUCAGUCACUUGCAGUGUUCUGCUACUUGCCACAGCGCUGCGCGCGUUCAAACAAGACGUCGUCAAUGAGCGCAACGACACGGGCUGCAUUCCUUCUUAUGUAACGUUUUAACAACGAAUAUAUUUUUUUCGAAACUACGCCCAUGUGAAAAAUAAUAUUUCCAAUAUACAGAAUAAAUUGAGACCUGAAAAUCACUUAUCAAAAGCUGUGUAUCUGUGGUUCCUGUCACGAAACUGUGUAAAACACGUCAAAAAUGUGUGAUAUUUAAAAUGCAGGUGCCUGAUGGAUAUGAAGAGCUGUCGAUCUAUGGACCUAAUCGUUUUAUGCCGUUAGGCGGAAGGGACAAACAAGCAGCUGACCGCCAAGGUUAACCUCAGCACGCGCGGGCCGAUGCCUCAGGGUCACUUUUCGUCAAGGGUCAGUAACAUUAAAAGAAAUACACAGCAAUCUAAGGUAAAACCUGGAACUGUAAUAAACUGGAAAUUGAAUUGCCCGUAUGAGUGAGGAUGAGUUCCUUAGUGCACAGUGUAGUGAGUGACGUCAUCGCAUCUCAUCAACGUCUACAACAGGAACAGCAGCAUUCAGCAACGCGUGCCCCUGCCUUGCACUUGGAUUCCAAUAACAACAACGGUGGAGCAUUUUCUGUCGUUGAUAACAAACAAAAAUCUGCUGUAAAGGAGAGUGAGAAGUCGUCUAUUAAGGCUGGCAACAGUGGCGAAAAAUAUUCACUAAGACCGCGAUCCUUGCCGAGACGCUCCGAAUCGGAGGAUUCUGACCACACGGGAGGUGCGAAGCGAGGUGCUAAUUCUGGAGCGGGGUCAGCUUCCCGGCCGAAACAGAAGCCACCGCCCCUAAGCAAAUAUCGGCGCAAGACGGCCAACGCCCGAGAAAGAGACCGAAUGCGAGAGAUCAACGCCGCCUUCGAGACGCUCCGUCGCGCAGUGCCUCACAUCUCGACGUCCGCUCACCAGAGCCAGAACGACAGCAUCGGAAGCGAGAAACUCACAAAGAUUACGACGCUGAGACUCGCCAUGAAGUACAUCGCCUCCUUGAGCCAAGCGCUGCAACAGGCCGACAGUUUCAUCCACAUGUCCGAGGUUCCAGCUCCGACACUUCAGCAUCCAAAUUCCAUCAGCAGUAGCAGUAACAGUAGUAAUGGUAGUCUACGACUCAUUUCGGAUGGCGAAUCGCUCACGUUCAGCGAACAAUGCCUUACACCUCCCGACCGCACUCCCCCAAAUUUCACGAAGCAAUGCUUCACUUCUGUCAGCCUGACACGCAUGUCUUCGCCGGACCACAUUCGACACAGGAUUACUCCUCCACCAGAAAACAAUCGUCAGAAUAUCAGUUCCUCGCCUGAAAUUCAAAGAACAAUUUGUAACCAUAGCCAGAAUAUCCUAUCUUCAGAGCUUGGCAUUACGACUCAUUGUAUUCCGUCAGAUUCAACAGGUAACCUGUGCGAUAACCAUCCCUGUGCCGGUCACAGCCGACACUGCCUGCUGUCUCCAGCUGUAGAUCGACAGUGCCUUCAACAUCAACAUCCUUGCGCCCCAAACUCUCAACUGUGCCUCUCAACACCGGUACUCCAGUCCCCAGACCUCAGUCAACAUUGCCUGACGCCCGUAGACUUCGAGGAGCACGCGGCUGAAGAACACUCUGCCUUGUUAGUAUUCGAUGAUGAUUCCUUGGACUCGCCUGAUCUGGAUCACCUGCUAAUCUCAUGACAUCACAAACCUCUUCCAUAUUUAGAACUGGACAGACUGAAACAUCACGAGACAUCUCACUCAGGAUAACGGGUAUCCCGGCCGAGUUUCGAACCGAACGUCUUGAAGUCAUCGCGAUUAAUGAUCGUCUGUGACGACUUUACUUUAGCCAGGCUCUUAACUUCCGGCUACUGAACCUGCUUAAGGUAAUAUCUGUCAGAAAGUUGUCAUUUGUCGUAAACAGUAAAAUCAGAUAGCUGGAAAGUUUAGUGGUUCCAUAAGCGAUGAUAUCGAAGUAGUCUCGUCAAUUUCAGUUAUAGUAGUCAGUUCAAAUUUUAACCCACCUGCAGACAUUAUUAAUAUAUGCAUCUUUAAAGCAAAAUGCUGUUCUCUUAUAUAAUAAACUCAAGAGUCACUGUACCUGGCCACUUUUUAGAAAGUUUGGACAGAAUUAUUUCGACCUUUAUCUCCUCUCUUUGAAUAAAUAUGUGGUCCUAGCAGUCUCAAGAAUACUGGAAGAAAGUUUCUGGGGUACAGUAGUAGGCAGUUAACCAUCUGGUGGUUAGGAACACUGUAGAUUGUGGAAAUUUACUUCCCUGUCCAGCAUAUAAUUCGACUAAUAGUUUUGGUACAGACCACUGCAAGAGGCAUUUAAAAGUCACGCAGGAAAGUAACUUGGCAGAGGUCGCCACAAACACUGCUAGCCCCCAACUAGACAAUCAUAUUAUUAUCUUGCCAACUUUCACUUUUCAAUAUUACCCAUUUCCAUAUCAGGACGGAGAAGCACAAUUCUCGCGAAUAGUAUUUUAGAGAUGAUACAAAAACGGCUUAUUAUACAAGAACAUAAUCUUGACUUUCUCUUUUACAGGCAUUUUUAUUAAAUGGACGGAAUAUUUUAAGCUGGAUUUUAUUACUACUGUAAUUUCCUGAAACGUCGGUAAACCACACUCGCAUAACAUGUUGUCGAGUGUAAAAUGGGAAAACUAAUGCGUCGGUUAACUGCUACCAGAAUAUAGAGUGAAAUAACUCAGCUCUAUACUUCAUGACAGAAAACUUUAGUAAUAUCCUGUGCAGUAAAUCACCUUUAUAAAAAAAAUCAUACUGACUUGAAGAAAGUUUGAUGGGAAAAACUAAGAGAUGACUAGACAUAGGCACAGAAAAUGUAUCUUCAAGAAAAAGGGUGGGAUAUCACGGCCUGCAUUCAUGUCACUCAGAAUAGGGACCGGUGUUGAGACUUGUAAACAUGAUCAUGAAAAUUCGAGUACCAUAAAAGUCAUGGAAGUUAUUAACUAUCUGAGCGACUAUCAGUUUAUCAAGUACUCUGCUCCAUGGACUGACGUGCAGAUCGGUAUAACUCAAAAACAAAUUCUCUUGAACUUACAUUACAGGUGGUUUGGGGCGGACGGAAGAGAUCAUUUCAUUAUGAGUCUCCAUUUUUUAUGAAUUUCAUAAGAAAUAACGAAUUCGUUUAAGAAUGUCAAAAUGUAUUUAUAUAGACCGCUCUUAAAGCCUCCGGUGAAAUGACGGCGCCACGGUAAAACAUUUUCUGCACUCUCAUCACUGUUAUUAUACAGAACAAUGAAAACGCGUCUCCUGACAAAGAAUUUCAUUCUUAUAUAAGACCCCCAAUUGACGGACACCCCAAUUUAUACUGCGUUUAAAUGAACCGUCCAUUCAGUUAUCACGAUGAAACCUUCAAAGUAAUAAACACUGUAAGAUAUAGUUAUAAACAAGAACUUGAAGGUGACAUUCUUCUAUGUUUUUUAUAUCAACCGCUGGAGUCCAUAAAAAUUCUAAGCAUCAACGCGUAAUUUGAAGUCGGUGUCUUAAAUCCACUCCAAAAUAUAAUGGCCAAUGUCCGUCAGGCUUUACUGCAGGAGUGUCGUUCUUGCGAUGCGAAAAGAUAUUAAUUUCUGACGGUGGCGAAUCUGUUAGCAAGAAACCCAAACAAAGCUCUUGGUUAUUCUAAUUUUUUCCCGGCCAAAUUCUGGUACAAAUCCUGGGUAAAAUUCAUCUCUCCUUCCUUCUACAUCCUUGCCAAUUCAUCGUCCACUAAACCAUUCAGUUUUACAUCCAUAACGUAUAAUUUACGCAGAUAAGGUAACGUCGUUAAAUAAACUAACUAAAUCCACUCACGUGACAGCGCCAUUAAAAAUUCUUUCUAUGAUGCUGCAAUGCUCUCAUUUUUCCCCCCACCAUCCUGCGAUUGGUGGACCUACUUUCACCUCCUCAGCAUAUCAAAACAUUCUCUCUGUGAUCAUUAGACAGCCUUUCUCAAAGCCACCCCACCCACUUUCAGCCGUCCUCUGUACAUUCACGCCCCCUGAUCCGCCCAUCGUGCAGUGAAAUUAUAUUUUAAAGACAGCAAGAAGCCAUGUCCAUAAGCCUCUCAUGUGACAUGAACUUAACCGAAUUACAUACGACGAGAUAUGUCGAACUUUUCUUUGAUCCGAUUAAGUCAAUGCUUUUAAAACAAAGGUGAAAGAAAUGUACUUUAUCCGCUCUUUCCAUGUGAGUUACUGAAUUAAAACCCAGAUGACCACAACACGGAUCUUUACCACUGUGAGAGCCUUCGAUGUCAUAAAUGAACGCUGCGGUCUGCAAAAACUGUUAACAGAACAAUCGGAGGGUCCCCACCCUAAAACUUAUUUAACAGGAGACUGUGUGGACGUGUUGGCGGGGGUGGAAAGUCCUUCUCGUUCAGGGAUUCAAACCUCGGUCAACUAAGCCCGUAGCCCGUCAGUAUAUAGCCUACCGAGCGGUUGAUCCUGGAAGGUAAGAUCCUUUUAACCAGAUACAAAUAUUUGCAUUUCACACGUCAAACAACUCCAAGUUUGCAUUUCGAAAGUAACGUGAACCAGUUGGUAGCAGUCCGGUUUUGAGAGCAAGGCUGUCAGGGUCAGAGAUCAGAAGUCUGGACAUGAUUAUGAUUUGUCAUACUUACAUGAUAUGAUAUGACAUAUUAAAUAUUAAGAAAUACCCGCACUGGUUAUGUACCUUUCUACAAAUACUUGUCCCUACCGCAACAUCAGGCAACUUUCAUAAAGAUAACUCCGCGUUCAGUUUACAGCGAUGUAAACUAGUCUGCUUUAAUUUGCUGUCAAGAUUGCUUCUUGUUCUGACAGUAAAACUUCUGCUGUUCUGGACGACAUGAUGGAAAAAGUAAUUGUCACAAUUAGCGAGUGAAGAACCCACAUGGCGACGAAGACUGACUUAAACUAGUACAGUAGAAUUUUAAUCAGCCAUUCUGAGUCACUGUGCAGCAUUUAUGACGACGGUCAAGCAUAAAUUUAUGCUGGGAGGUGAAACAUAACGCCCACGCUCUUCAGUUAUGUCGUGUAUUUCUUCAAUAUCAGGAUAACGCGCAUCUUCAAAGGCCUUAGAAGCUUUAUAACUUCUGCAGUUGCCAAGGAUCAGCCCUGUUCUCGGAUAUCAUCAACUUGCUAUAUUAUCCUAAUGUAGCAGACCGCGUUUUAAGCCAAUACAAACUUAAAACAAAGCAGGCACAUCGCAGACUUAAUUAUAUGGCAAUUUUUAACAUUUUAAGCACUGUCCAAAUUUAAUCUGACCUUCAUUAUCUGUUACAAAAUAUUUAAUUUUACUUAAGUCCUUACUUAUAGACUUAAUCGUAGGUUUUGUUAAAACACAUUUUAAUUAGCACAAAUUGCUUUAUGGGUAGUACAUAUCGAAUGUAAUAAUAAUAUUCGUAUUGUACAUUAAUCCCUUCCUAAAUUAAAUAUGUACAAAAUUGAAACAAAUGGACAGAUAAUGUUUCUUUUUGAUUUUAUCACGACAUUUUCGUAAUGUCCAGACUACAUAUCUACUCCGGUUAAACCAAUAGAAAUAUAAAACCUAAGCUCCACACACUU